CUCCUAACGCUUGGAUAAGGUGCCUAAACUAUUCGCUUAUGAGAUCCCAUGAAAAGGUGUUGGUUCAUUAUGACAGUAGGACGGUGGUCAUGGAAGUCGAAAUCCGCUAAGGAGUGUGUAACAACUCACCUACCGAAUGAACUAGCCCUGAAAAUGGAUGGCGCUACAGCGGAUUACCGAUACCAAGCCAUAAAAAAAAAAAAAAAAAAAAAAAGAAGCAAUUUUUUUUUUUUUUUUGCUUUAUUACUGUGUAUGUAAUAUAUUUUUUUAUUGCUUCAUCUACUCACCUUAGAGUGUGUUUUAAUUAUGAUUAUAUAUUUAUUUUUUUUUUUUUAAAAAAAAAAUUGUAUAUAUAAUUAUAUAGCACUCUUAAUUUUUAUGUGCCAACUCAGAACUGAAACGGACA
RNAcentral lists this long non-coding RNA (406 nucleotides) under Piliocolobus tephrosceles (Ugandan red Colobus). Its description in RNAcentral is "lncRNA (ENSPTEG00000013554.1)". The stretch from base 1 to 238 matches the Rfam family "Eukaryotic large subunit ribosomal RNA", at positions 1166 to 1379 of the family's 3401-position model. Lineage: Eukaryota; Metazoa; Chordata; Mammalia; Primates; Cercopithecidae. The record is from RNAcentral.